UACGAAGGGGGCUAGCGUUGCUCGGAAUCACUGGGCGUAAAGGGUGCGUAGGCGGGUUUUUAAGUCAGGGGUGAAAUCCUGGAGCUCAACUCCAGAACUGCCUUUGAUACUGGGAGUCUUGAGUUCGGGAGAGGUGAGUGGAACUGCGAGUGUAGAGGUGAAAUUCGUAGAUAUUCGCAAGAACACCAGUGGCGAAGGCGGCUCACUGGCCCGAUACUGACGCUGAGGUGCGAAAGCGUGGGGAGCAAACAGG
This 253-nucleotide ribosomal RNA is filed under the name uncultured bacterium. Its description in RNAcentral is "partial 16S ribosomal RNA". It matches the Rfam family "Bacterial small subunit ribosomal RNA", at positions 524 to 776 of the family's 1533-position model. The record is from RNAcentral.